Molecule: long non-coding RNA, 579 nt
Filed under: Gopherus agassizii (Agassiz's desert tortoise)
Lineage: Eukaryota; Metazoa; Chordata; Testudines; Testudinidae
Description: lncRNA (ENSGAGG00000017175.1)
Source: RNAcentral
UCUAGGCUCAUACUGUGCAUCUGCAGAGCUGGCUGCGCCAUCUGGUCCCUGUGAUGCUGGCUUUUACUGCAUUGGGGGGUCCACACUCCCCAACCCAACAGAUGGGGCAGUGGGAAAUAUUUGUCCUCCAGGCUACGUGUGUCCCCAAGGAAGUUCUUCUCCAUCUCCAUGUCCCUCAGAUUAUAUAUGUCCUGUUGGUCACUAUUGCCCAACAGGCAGCCCAGAGCCCAAACCCUGUCCCUCUGGGAAAUACCAGGACCAGACUGGUCAAAGCCUGUGCAAGACGUGCCCAGCAGGAAAGUUCUGUGGCCCAGAAGUCCAAAUCCAAGAUCACAAGGAGACCUUUUCACAUGGAACGAUCAAGCCAGCAGAUUGCCCGGCUGGAUACUACUGCCUCUCAGGAACUAAAACUGCCAAGCAGUACCCAUGCCCCAAGGGCACCUUCAGUAACCAGACUGGGCUGAGCAAUUCCAAGGACUGCAGAGCUUGCCCUGGGGGAAAAUUCUGUGCAGAUGCAGGUAAGGAGCAGACAGGUAGAGAUUAGCUUCCCUGUUCAAGCUGGGAAGAUCCUGCAUUUUG